Myotis daubentonii (Daubenton's bat) is the source of this 1109-nucleotide long non-coding RNA. RefSeq lists it as uncharacterized. The record is from RefSeq and is a predicted model, not a curated record. NCBI's taxonomy places the organism in Eukaryota, Metazoa, Chordata, Mammalia, Chiroptera, Vespertilionidae.
CGAGGCAGCGCCGCGCGCGUCCUGCGGUGGGCCGGGGCGCUCCAGGCCCCGCUGCAGGCCCAGCCUGGGCGCUGUCUAGGUAGCCGUUGGUUUCACUGCUCUUCUCCAUGGCGUUGCCCGCAGCUCGGAGCUGGAGAAGAAGGAGAGGCAAUUCUAGAGACACCCUCUAUUUUGCCAACCAGCAACUUCCUUUGUUUUGACUACCGUUUUUAUACAAGGACUCUCGUAUCAUGCUCCAGAAAUGAAUUCCCAAUUGCCUGCUUUACAUCUCCACCUGGACAUCCUGAAGGCAUUCCAACUCAGCAUGUCAAACACUGACUCAUGGCUGGCCCCCUCAAGCCUGCUCCUCCUCUGACUCCCAUUUCUGUGCCCCGCUCAAGCCUGCUCCUCUUUCUGAAUCCCCUGUUCUGUUACCAACAUUGUUGACAGCCAGUCACCUCUCUUUGAAAUCUCACAGUGACCUUUGAUUCUUCCUUCUCUGGUGUCUCUUCUCCUCAAUUACCAAUUCACAAAGACACUGUUUUCACAAUAUAUAUUAUAUCCACCACCCCCGUCCAUUUCUACUGCUACCAUACUUGGCUCAGUUUUUCAUUCCUCACUGCUUAUCUUGACCGUGGAAUUGUUUCCUAAUUAGUCUUCCCACCUCCAAUGCUCCUCUUGUUCCAACCAUCUUAUAUUUUGCCUUGCCUUGGGCCAAUCUUUCUAAUAAGUAAUUUACAUGUUAGGAUUAGUUUCAGCUUCUAUCCAACAGAGGGGGCGGCGGGGUGGGGUGGGGAAGAGCAAUUCUCUGUUCCCUUAAGAAAACUUCCUAAAAGUUGGCUACACAGUCCUAUUUCCUUUAGAUUUCAUUAAUCAGAAUUUAGGCACAUGACCACACCUCGCGGCAAGAGACGUUAGGAAAUGCAGCUUUUAUUUCGUACAGGCAUAUAUCCAGUUAAAAAUCAAGGCUCUGUCAUGUCACUUCUUGUUCAAAAGCUUCCAGUGGCCCCCGCUGAAUUAUGAAUAUGCUUUUCACCCUGGCAUUCGAGACCCGCCAUGAUCUGGUCUCAGCUCACUCUCCAGCCUAGUGCCCUCUAUGUUUGCAAUGAAAAUGAGACUGUGUAAUAAAA